Molecule: transfer RNA, 58 nt
Filed under: Teladorsagia circumcincta
Lineage: Eukaryota; Metazoa; Nematoda; Chromadorea; Rhabditida; Trichostrongylidae
Description: tRNA-Ala
Source: RNAcentral
GGGGUCUUAAUUUAAAUAAUAAAAUAUAUGGUUUGCAUUCAUAAAAUUAUGACUCUAA